This 75-nucleotide transfer RNA is filed under the name Mycobacterium sinensis. RNAcentral describes it as "Mycolicibacter sinensis tRNA-Thr". It matches the Rfam family "tRNA". Rfam says of the family: Transfer RNA (tRNA) molecules are approximately 80 nucleotides in length. Their secondary structure includes four short double-helical elements and three loops (D, anti-codon, and T loops). Lineage: Bacteria; Bacillati; Actinomycetota; Actinomycetes; Mycobacteriales; Mycobacteriaceae. The record is from RNAcentral.
GCCUCCUUAGCUCAGUGGUAGAGCGUCGCUCUUGUAAAGCGGAUGUCGUCGGUUCAAUCCCGACAGGAGGCUCCG